Molecule: ribosomal RNA, 460 nt
Filed under: uncultured bacterium
Lineage: Bacteria
Description: bacterial SSU rRNA
Rfam family: Bacterial small subunit ribosomal RNA
Source: RNAcentral
ACGCUGGCGGCGUGGAUUAGGCAUGCAAGUCGAACGGAACUUCUAGCUUUUUCGGAAGUUUAGUGGCGAAAGGGUGAGUAACACGUGACUAACCUGCCCUUGGGCUCGGGAUAACUUGCCGAAAGGCGAGCUAAUACCGGAUACGUUCUUGUUUCUUAACUGGGACAAGAAGAAAGAUGGGGACUUCUUCGGAAGCCUGUCACCUUUGGAUGGGGUCGCGGCCUAUCAGCUAGUUGGUGAGGUAACGGCUCACCAAGGCUAAGACGGGUAGCUGGUCUGAGAGGAUGGUCAGCCACACUGGGACUGAGACACUGCCCAGACACCUACGGGUGGCUGCAGUCGAGAAUCUUUCGCAAUGGGGGAAACCCUGACGAAGCGACGCCGCGUGUAGGAUGAAGGCCUUCGGGUUGUAAACUACUGUCAGCUGGGAAGAAAGGUUUCCGGUUAAUAACCAGAAACC